GACGAACGCUGGCGGCGUGCUUAACACAUGCAAGUCGAACGGAAAGGCCCUGCUUUUGUGGGGUGCUCGAGUGGCGAACGGGUGAGUAACACGUGAGUAACCUGCCCUUGACUUUGGGAUAACUUCAGGAAACUGGGGCUAAUACCGGAUAGGAGCUCCUGCUGCAUGGUGGGGGUUGGAAAGUUUCGGCGGUUGGGGAUGGACUCGCGGCUUAUCAGCUUGUUGGUGGGGUAGUGGCUUACCAAGGCUUUGACGGGUAGCCGGCCUGAGAGGGUGACCGGCCACAUAGGGACUGAGAUACGGCCCAGACUCCUACGGGAGGCAGCAGUGGGGAAUAUUGCACAAUGGGCGGAAGCCUGAUGCAGCAACGCCGCGUGCGGGAUGACGGCCUUCGGGUUGGAAACCGCUUUCGCCUGUGACGAAGCGUGAGUGACGGUAAUGGGUAAAGAAGCACCGGCUAACUACGU
This 467-nucleotide ribosomal RNA is filed under the name uncultured bacterium. RNAcentral's name for it is "partial 16S ribosomal RNA". It matches the Rfam family "Bacterial small subunit ribosomal RNA", at positions 28 to 506 of the family's 1533-position model. The record is from RNAcentral.